AGCGAACGCUGGCGGCAGGCCUAACACAUGCCAGUCGAACGAACUCUUCGGAGUUAGUGGCGGACGGGUGAGUAACACGUGGGAACGUGCCUUUUGGUUCGGAAUAACUCAGGGAAACUUGUGCUAAUACCGAAUGUGCCCUUCGGGGGAAAGAUUUAUCGCCAUUAGAGCGGCCCGCGUCUGAUUAGCUAGUUGGUGAGGUAACGGCUCACCAAGGCGACGAUCAGUAGCUGGUCUGAGAGGAUGACCAGCCACACUGGGACUGAGACACGGCCCAGACUCCUACGGGAGGCAGCAGUGGGGAAUCUUGCGCAAUGGGCGAAAGCCUGACGCAGCCAUGCCGCGUGAAUGGUGAAGGUCUUAGGAUUGUAAAAUUCUUUCACCGGGGACGAUAAUGACGGUACCCGGAGAAGAAGCCCCGGCUAACUUCGUG
RNAcentral lists this ribosomal RNA (433 nucleotides) under uncultured bacterium. RNAcentral describes it as "partial 16S ribosomal RNA". It matches the Rfam family "Bacterial small subunit ribosomal RNA", at positions 29 to 507 of the family's 1533-position model. The record is from RNAcentral.